This 29-nucleotide non-coding RNA is filed under the name Rattus norvegicus (Norway rat). The record is from RNAcentral. Lineage: Eukaryota; Metazoa; Chordata; Mammalia; Rodentia; Muridae.
UAAGAACACUGGAAACAGUUUUGUUUAGA